UUCCGGUAUCGACAGGAGUUCGAGAUCGCUGCGGCCGGCCAUGCGGGUGCGGAUCUGCAGCCCGGUGGUGCCGUGUUCGCCAUCGAUGA
Molecule: transfer RNA, 89 nt
Filed under: Ensifer sp. M14
Lineage: Bacteria; Pseudomonadati; Pseudomonadota; Alphaproteobacteria; Hyphomicrobiales; Rhizobiaceae
Description: tRNA-Arg
Source: RNAcentral